RNA transcript from Athene cunicularia (burrowing owl), 4468 nucleotides. It is a transcript of the gene named RecQ like helicase, with no coding region annotated. NCBI's taxonomy places the organism in Eukaryota, Metazoa, Chordata, Aves, Strigiformes, Strigidae. The record is from RefSeq and is a predicted model, not a curated record. The transcript is spliced from 16 exons.
GCACUCCGCACCUUUCCUGCCCGCGGCUCGCGGUGUGCCUGCGGGGAUGGAUGCUGAGACAGCCGCUGUAAAGGCCCUGCUGCCGGUUUGUCGGGUUCCCCACCACUCACAAUUUUUGUUGUUGUUGUUGUUUUAAGGUGGCUUCUCAGGGUUGUAUGGGUGAACUUUUUUCUCUUUUUCUUUUUCUGGGUUGAACUAACCGGGAAGAUGACAUACCAUGCUUGUGCAAUUAUUGUUGGUUUUAUUCCUUAAUUUUAACAGUUCUUUGAUAAUGCUCUAGUAGCAUCAGUCACGUUUUAGAGUUAGUGAAAAGCUGUAAUCCGGAGGCUUGGUUAGAAGGGACAGUUGCUUGCUUAAGUAAGAUCUCCUAAGGAUAACAUUCUCUGAUCUCCAAAGAUGUCAGCUGUUGCAGUGCUAGAGGAUGUACUGGUUUCCAUUGAAAAUGAGCUGCAGGCAGUGGAGAUGCAGAUUCAGGAGCUUGUGGAUAAACAGCAGGAACUCCUUCAAAAGAAGAUGAGGGUAAAAAGUCUGAUAAAGCAGUCCUCAGGAGACUCAGAGGCAGGUGGAAGUAAAGACACUGAAACCUCAGCCGAGGCAUGGAACAAAAAAGAUUUUCCAUGGUAUGAGAAGAUAAAAAUUGCACUGCAGGACAAGUUUAAACUCCAGAAAUUUAGGUCCUUGCAACUUGAAACAGUAAAUGCUGCAAUGGCAGGAAAGGACAUAUUUCUUGUCAUGCCUACAGGUGGUGGAAAGAGCCUUUGCUAUCAGUUACCAGCUGUCUGUUCUGAUGGUUUCACACUUGUGAUAUGUCCUUUGAUAUCACUUAUGGAAGAUCAGCUCAUGGUUUUGGAACAGCUUGGUAUUUCUGCAACUUUAUUAAAUGCCUCAAGCAGUAAGGAACAUGUGAAGUGGGUCCAUAAUGAAAUGCUAGACAGAAAUUCGCAACUGAAGCUCAUUUAUGUGACCCCGGAGAAGAUUGCAAAAAGCAAAAUGUUCAUGUCAAAGCUAGAGAAAGCUUAUCAAGCAGGGCGUCUUGCUCGCAUUGCUGUAGAUGAGGUCCAUUGCUGUAGUCAAUGGGGCCAUGACUUCAGGCCUGACUAUAAGUCUCUUGGUAUCUUGAAAAGACAGUUUCCCAAUGCUCCCUUGAUUGGAUUGACAGCAACUGCUACAAAUCAUGUUUUAAAGGAUGCUCAGAAAAUUUUGCAUGUUCAGAAGUGCAUUACCUUUACUGCAUCUUUCAACCGGCCCAGUCUUUACUAUGAGGUUCGACACAAACCUUCAAAUAAUGAAGAUUUCAUUGAGGACAUAGUUAAGAUCAUUAAUGGAAGAUACAAAGGACUCUCAGGGAUUGUUUACUGUUUUUCUCAGAAGGAUUCUGAGCAAGUUACUGUGAGUUUGCAGAAACUGGGAAUCAAGGCAGGGACUUACCAUGCAAACAUGGAUCCUAAAUAUAAGACUAAGAUUCAUAAAGGAUGGGCAGCAAAUCAAAUCCAGGUUGUAGUGGCAACUGUUGCUUUUGGCAUGGGAAUUGAUAAACCUGAUGUGAGGUUUGUAAUUCAUCAUUCUAUGAGCAAAUCCAUGGAGAACUACUACCAAGAGAGUGGACGUGCAGGUAGAGAUGACCAAAAAGCUGACUGCAUUUUGUAUUACGGUUUUGGAGAUAUAUUCAGAAUCAGCUCUAUGGUAGUGAUGGAAAAUGUAGGGCAAGAGAAACUGUAUGAUAUGGUGUCUUACUGCCAAAAUAUGAACAAAUGUCGCCGGGUCCUCAUAGCCCAUCAUUUUGAUGAAGUAUGGGAUUCUGCAAACUGCAACAGAAUGUGUGAUAACUGCUGUAGAGAGAACUCAUGUGAGAAAGUGAAUAUAACAGGAUACUGCAGGGACCUAAUCAAGAUACUUGAGCAAGCCGAAAACAUGAGUGAGAAACUCACCCCACUGAAAUUAAUUGAUGCAUGGUCUGGGAAAGGUGUAUCAAAAUUCAGGGUGGCUGAAGUUACUUCACCAAAGCAUCCUCGAGAGGAACUGGAGAGAAUUAUUGCCCAUUUACUACUGCAGCAGUAUCUGAAGGAAGACUUCAGCUUCACGGCAUUUGCUACAAUAUCCUACCUGAAGAUAGGACCAAAAGCAGGUCUGCUGAAAAAUGAGGCACAUGUCAUAACUAUAGAAGGGAUAACAAACAAGAAAAGUGUUUGCAAGGACAAACCAUCUCAAUCUUCAAAUCCAAAAGGAAGCAGAGAAAAUGCUCAGACUACUUCAAAGACUGUCCAAGAUUCAGUGGUGAAGAAGUCACAGGAACACAGACGGCCUACCUGUGGUUCUAACUUAAAAGCAAAGAAGCUUAAGCUUCAGGCAGGUGGAGAUGACCAACCAGUUGUUCUUGACUGAGUUUCACAGGCUACUUUUAGGAUCUAAUUGUUUGCUUCUCCAUGGACAAUGCCAUGUGCAGGAAAAUUAAUUUUGAAGUUGAACACUGUCAGGACCUGAGGCUGAACAUGAGAAGACCUCAGUGUAGUAGGUACAAAGUGAUAGAUGAUAAAAAGAAUGCUUGAGCUAUUACCUUGAUGAGUUUGGAGAAACAUGAGCUGUUACUGAAAAUUGUCAUGUUUGGUAACCAAUAAGGCCUUUUGCUGCUACUGAUAACUCGGUGCUUUCAGUUCCCCUUCUAUUUGUCGAGAGCAAGAAUAGCUGGGUUGAGGGGAAAGGCCUGAAGAGCAGUUCUGCCCACACUUUCAGUUCCUGAGCAGCAACUGCUGGGCUUUGGUUUUGUUUACACUUAACCUUUAAGCAGUGCUUAAUCCCAUAAAUGCAGAUGUUGUGGUUAUGCUAUUUAUUAAAAAGAAUCUUUGAACCACAUGGAAGUUACAACUAAGAGCAAGUAGUCCUUUCCUUGCCCUUUAGGGUUCUGGAUUUCCCCUCUAAUUUCUUCUGAACUAGAUGAUGUAUAUUGAGCUCCUCUUGCUGUAAAAUGCUGCUGGAAUGGAUUCAGUAACCAGGAAAUUACCCUUGUUAACUCCUCUCAACCUAGAACCAUCUGACCUCCCUUCUUUCACAUGUACUUCAAGAAGUUGCUAGAACACUACUGCCAUCUUAAUAUUUAGAUUUGACCAAUCAUAUAAAAGGAAAAGCUUCCUAAUAAUGGAAGGCUCACUUUCAUAUAGGAAGUAGGCUUGAGGGAAGUGAUACUCUGUUCCAAACAGCCUAGCACUUACACAUUCAGACUCACAGAACAGCCCAGGUGUGAAGGGACGUUAAAAACUUUUGGUUCUUUUGCAGUGGAGGGCUUUAUGUAAGCUUUUUUUCCAUUCCUACUUUUCCCAGUUGAGGACUACUUAUGGUUAUAUAAUCAAUAUCCUCUGAAAUUGGCUACUUAAAGUGCAUUAACACUGUUUAUUUGGUCAGUCCUACCUUCUGCAUUGUGUAAUUAAGUGGCAUGAAGUCUUUUUCUCUCCAUGCCAAACAGAAGCUGUAACCUAGGACAGCACACCCUGCGAGCUGAACUGCAGCUAUUCUACACUGAAGGUCACAGUCAUUCCUCAGCAGUCUGUAUGGACUGUGGAAAACCUUCAGCUACAUAAUAAUUUGUCUCCCAUUUCAGUAGGGAGAAUAUUUAACUUUAUAUGAAUAGAUAUAUAUACCUGUUGACUUCCUUUAAACAUCAGUGUUUCCAGAAGAAAACAGUGGUAAAGACCCAACAGCUACUGCUGACUUUAAGCACUGCUUAGGCAUACAUGAGGCUGAAUGCUACAUUUUGAUUUUUUUUUUUUUUCAAUCUUAGCAGCCACUGAUCAGUAAGGCAAGUUCAAACUCAUUAUAAAUGGUUCUGGUAGGUUUCAUUUUGGAUUCCCCCACAGACAUUUAGCUGUAUACCAACUUAAAUAUAAACCAAACAUGAUUAAGAACAUGCUCUUCAUCUUUAUUUUUCUGGUAGAAUCUUGUCAGUGAUUAACACUUAGUAUUUCACCCAUUGUUCAGCUGACACCUUUGCUAGAAGUGUGUGGAAUUAAUUGAUUUAAUUAAACUGUCAUUCUCUUAAUUAUUUUUUAAGAGUAACUUUUCUGGGAGAAGUCUUGAUAUGUACCACCAACUUUGCAUUUAGUGGAGUACAACAAAAUGUUCCCAGUUUGACCCUAAAUAAACAGCACCUCCCUAGUAGCAAUUAUAGAACAAAAUCAAAAGCUAAUAUGAAACAACCUCUGUCUCUGGAUGACACUGUGGAAUAGAGAGGACAUUAAGGAAUAGCUUAAAUUGUUGGGCUUUAUCACCUAGGCACUAAAUUAUGCCUAGCAACUAAAAAAGAAGGAACUUGAUUGAAGCAAGCCUCUACAUACACAUCAUUAUUAUUAAACUGCAUCUUGUGUAACAAAACACUUGGAGGUUGUUACAACUGAAAACAAACAACCCCCCACUUAAAACUUACUAGUAAGGUAGUUUGUCACUAGUUACCACAAGUCAAACUGGACUUUAGUACCUG